Molecule: microRNA precursor, 83 nt
Filed under: Lotus japonicus
Lineage: Eukaryota; Viridiplantae; Streptophyta; Magnoliopsida; Fabales; Fabaceae
Description: miR11088b stem-loop (lja-MIR11088b)
Source: miRBase by way of RNAcentral
UCCGCCAAAAUAUGGGUUGGGUUGAGACUUUGAACCAAAAUGCCAAAAAUGGGUGAGCCCAACCCAACCCGUAUUUUGGUGGG